CCCUUAGAUGUUCUGGGCCGCACGCGCGCUACACUGAUGCAUUCAACGAGCCUAUCCUUGACCGACAGGUCCGGGUAAUCUUUGAAUCUGCAUCGUGACGGGGAUAGAUUAUUGCAAUUAUUAAUCUUCAACGAGGAAUGCCUAGUAGGCGCAAGUCAUCAGCUUGCGUCGAUUACGUCCCUGCCCUUUGUACACACCGCCCGUCGCUCCUACCGAUUGGGUGUGCUGGUGAAAUGUUCGGAUCGGCCGUUUGUCGCGGUUUCCGCGUCAUGUGGCUGAGAAGUUCAUUAAACCCUCCCACCUAGAGGAAGGAGAAGUAGUAACA
RNAcentral lists this ribosomal RNA (325 nucleotides) under uncultured eukaryote. Its description in RNAcentral is "partial 18S ribosomal RNA". It matches the Rfam family "Eukaryotic small subunit ribosomal RNA", at positions 1470 to 1796 of the family's 1831-position model. The record is from RNAcentral.